CUAGUACCUCAUUCUCAUCCACUAAUCAGUGUAUUUAAAGUAAAAUAAUUCGUGUUCAUUAUUUGUGGAUUGUGUGUCCUUUAGUUUGGUUAUAGCAGGAGUCAUGAUGACUGUAUAUUUGAAAUUCUGUUGAUGAGCAAUGGUUUUGAAUUCAAACUUUUUUACAUACUUUUUACAUAGUCUGGUAGCUCUUUAAUUGUGUAAAUAGCACUUCUACUAAAUAUUAAACAUAUCAAUCAAAGGAUCAAUACAGG
Molecule: non-coding RNA, 254 nt
Organism: Pelobates cultripes (western spadefoot toad)
Lineage: Eukaryota; Metazoa; Chordata; Amphibia; Anura; Pelobatidae
Source: the annotation of a GenBank genome assembly